GUCUAAAGCACCAAGAUUUUAAAUUCUUACUAGUAAAUAGUAAUUAGCUUUAGUAAUCUAAAGAAAAGAAUCAUGUAUAUGUUACUUACUUUUACUUUAUGAAGAACGUAGAAAUUAUGUUAAAUCUUUCUGUCAUAGAACAUUAAGGUUCUAUUUUCAUUUGCAUUCUCUAAUUCUCCAAAAACUAAUGGCAACCAGGUGGUAUCUCUACAUCUGUUUUAGAGGAGCUCUUCUUUGGCUUCACUGAAAAGCAUUUUUUUCUCUUAAGUAGAAGCUUAGAAUUCCUUGUUGGGUUAUGUGUUCUUAUUCUCCAAAUGGUAACAUCGAUGUAAAGAAAGAUUGUUGUUUUAAAACACUCUUGCCACUAUCUGCAUACCAGCUCUCAUAUUUGCUUUUGCUAAUAUGAUUGCCAGAGGUAAUCUGGAAAUUUAUUGUAUUAAUUAUUUGGUAUGGGUGGUGCAAGUGGAGUUCAAGAGCUUGCCAGAUUGGAUCAUACCUCAGUUCGGGUUGCAUGUUGGAUAAAAUGGUAUGAAGCUUGCUUGUGGUGCAGAGCAGGAGGAUUGUUUUAUGGAGUGAUGCUAUUUCCAUAGAGAUCGGAAAACUUAAUUGUACUGGUCUCUUUUGUUUGAUGUGAUUUGCUAGCAUCGUCAUGUUCUUGCUUAAUGAAUUACUUGCUUUUAACUAUAAAUAACUUCUGUUUGGAUUGCUGUAGACCUUGGAAGUUAUUAAACGGAUACCUUAUUUUCGUAUUUUGGACCCAACUUUAAAUUAUAUUCCUAUUUGAGUAGCUAACCCCAGUGUCUGAAAAAGUGUAUAUUUUAUGAGGGAUAUCAGAUUGGAAGGCUCGUGCAGAUGUGGCGAAAUUGUUAAAGAAUCUAAAGAAGGAGCUAACUUUACUUGUUGUCAGCCAUGACCUCAAGGAGUUGGCAUCUUUGGUCGAUCAAUCUUGGAGGAUGGAAAUGGGAGGAGUACUUAAAAGAGAGCCACUACCCAUUUAAUACUCGGGGAUUUAUUAUGUUCCCAGCCAUUAGUUUCUGAUGCAAUGGAUUAGGUAUUAGCACAGCUAUUAGGCCUCUUUAUUGUCGCGCUCUUUCAGUCAAGGCUGAUCCUAGUUAGACUGGGAAAACAAUAAGAAUUGAGUAGUAGUAAAUGAAGCUCAAAAGAUAAAAACGGCAUGGUGAGUUACCAUUGAAACAAGAGUGAAACUUUGAUCUUUCACUUUAAUUAGAGGUGUCAAAGCAGGUUGGGUUAAAGUCCCAAGCCGCCCAAAGUUUGCUUGGGUCAAGAUGGGUUGGUUUAGAAAGGGCUGAGAAGCGUGUCAUAACCCAAUCUGCCCAAGUAGACCAAAUAUAUUUGUCAUAGCUCACUAUGCAACCAAAGUCCUGUUUUUAAUUCAAACCAUGCAGAUCUUAAAUAUAAUGUAUGUGUAUUUUAGAUGAACAGAAGAAGACUUCGGAUUAUUCAAAUCAUAUGCUCAUAUGCAACUUUCUGUGUU
Molecule: non-coding RNA, 1495 nt
Organism: Nicotiana tabacum (common tobacco)
Lineage: Eukaryota; Viridiplantae; Streptophyta; Magnoliopsida; Solanales; Solanaceae
Source: RefSeq, a predicted model, not a curated record